GCGGUUAUGAUAGCUAAACGUGCAGAGAGCGAUGGUAACCGUCCAAAUGUCCGUCUAGCUCUCGAACGGUAUUUCAAUGGUGUCACGAAAAUUCCCGGAAACGUUGCCAUAAAAACAUUGAUCAUUCCAAUGACGUGACGUCAACAACGCUUUGACGUUUUACUGUGCUUACUGAUGCCAAAGCGAUACUACGUACCUUCUUCUGGGCCCCGUUUCACGAAGCGAUCUUAGUCCUAAGAUCAACUAAGUGCAUAGGGUAGCUAUGCGCUUAAGGUAAUCUUAGGGCUAAGAUCGUUUCGUGGAACGGGGCCCUGUUCAAUAUAUAUUUUAACUUUAGAAAUGUGCGUACAGAAUCGCUGUUUGGCAUUUAUAAUCGUAUUUAUUUUACAUGUGUGUAUGCCUAAAUGUAAAAUAUCUGCAUGGAUUUAACACUACGUAAUGACGACAGUGACUGCUUUGCUGUUCUGUUGUAAUGUUUUCUCCAAGUGUUGAGUGGAUAUGUAUAUCAACAGAGAUUGAUGAGGAAUGUGUGAAAAUCAUGACAGAUGAAGAGUUAAAGGAAUUUACAUGUACUUCCAGGUUUGGAUAUCGGCUAGCAAAACUACAGUUUGUUGCAGUAAAAUACAUACGAAAGUCUUUUGACAAAAUAAACUUACUCCAAAACCUGAAGCCCAAAUGAGCAGGAACAGCAUGGAGAAGAUAAUGGAGUUGCCACGACCUGCACCAUCAAGACAGGAUGUGCCAAGAAGGCCACAAAGACAGAAUGUCAAGUAGAAGUUAGACUUGAGAACUUUGAUGCAAAGUUGAAAACAUUUAUGCCAAUCAGAACCAAAGGAGGAAUACAUAAAAUCAAGGUAUCUAAACGUUCCAGAAAAGCUGAUUUGACUGACACAGUGAAAAGGAGUUAAUUAUUUCUGAAUGUCAAUUCUGGCUAUGAGUGUGAGGAUGACUUUGAUUAUGACUUAAUGAGACUAUAAACAGGUUAUUUUAGAUGAUGAAGAUUUGACUGUAGAGGAUAUUAUUAAAACAAUAUCAACUUCAGAAGUUGUGUCUAUUUGCUUAAAAAUUUACAAUUUUGGUAUAUUAUAGCAAAUGAGCUUAAAUUUGGAUAUAUUUUUAAACAUAGAAAUCUUCCCUAGGUUAUAAAAACAUUACCUCAUACAUGUCUGCUUCUGACAUUUGAAUAUUUCUCAAAUAAAUGCAUUAAUCAGA
Molecule: long non-coding RNA, 1212 nt
Organism: Gigantopelta aegis
Lineage: Eukaryota; Metazoa; Mollusca; Gastropoda; Neomphalida; Peltospiridae
Exons: 2
Source: RefSeq, a predicted model, not a curated record